CGAGCGAAAAGAAAACAGUUCAGCACUAAGUCACUUUGUCUAUAUGGCAAAUGUGAGAUGCAGUGUAUGGAGCGUCAAUAUUCUAGUAUGAGAAAUUAACGAUUUAAGUCCUUCUUAAAUGAGGCCAUUUACCCAUAGAGGGUGCCAGGCCCGUAUAACGUUAAUGAUUACUAGAUGAUGUUUCCAAAGAGUCGUGUUGCUUGAUACGUG
This 210-nucleotide ribosomal RNA is filed under the name Drosophila melanogaster (fruit fly). RNAcentral describes it as "partial 28S ribosomal RNA". It matches the Rfam family "Eukaryotic large subunit ribosomal RNA", at positions 90 to 282 of the family's 3401-position model. The record is from RNAcentral. Lineage: Eukaryota; Metazoa; Arthropoda; Insecta; Diptera; Drosophilidae.